UCAUUGGAUCCUCCACCUUUCAUCCCCAAAUCAUUGUUUAUUUUAGAAUAUUGAAAACCUCCCUCAUCUGGAUCAUCAGCAACUUUCCAGUGAUUCUCAUCUCUGGUACCUGAGCACCAUCCCUUCCCCCCCUCGGCAGACAACGCAGGCUUUUGUCCUGAGGGCAGGCCGCUUGCAUAUAGACCUUCCAUUGUCCUGCCUUAUUGGCGUAGCCUUGCUAGGCCGAAAGCCUGCACAAUGAAAUCUUACAUACAGUAAAAAGGGGACAUUAAAAAACUCUCCACAAUAACUCUUGUGUUUAAAAAAAAAAGGAGCAAUGAAAGUUUGAUAAGGGAUACAAACCCCCCCUUCCUCUCCUCCCUCUCCGGGAUUGAAAACACAGAAUAUCUUUCUAGGCCAGGCUCAUGGGGCUUUUUUUUUCUUGAUUUUCGGCUUGUCUUUGUGUGUACGCUCUUUGUUCAUUCCAGGUGAACCGAAAUCAUGUGAUAUGAAAGGGGACAGAGCGGGUUAUUAUAAAGGGUUUUCGGGCUCUGCCGAGGGCUGUCAGUGAGAAGAUGCAAGCUUGGGGGAAGCAUAGAUAUCUGCCUGCAGGGCUGUAUAAUCAGCCUUCUCCUGGAAUCACCCGUAGCCCUGUGAAUGACAGAUAGACACACACCCAUAUAUCGUAUAGGAUGGACAAGUCUGCUAAAGUCCGGAGAUCCUGAAAUGUCUAUUUGGAUUAAUACAUGGAACCUGCUGGAAGGAGACGGCUGCACUUUGAAGAUCAUAUAGCUGGGGAUGGAAAUGAAUGCAUCAGCAUAUGGAUAUAUGUAUGUAUUGUAUGUUGAAUGUACAGAUUACCAAAGCCAUGGUCUAACUGACUGUGCCACAGAAGACACGUUAGAAGAUAAAGCUAUGCCACCCUGUUUCUUGGUCUUGGACAGAUGAAACCACUUUCCACCAUCUUUCAAAGGCCAGUGUUGUGCAGAGCUUCUCAUAUGGUUGAUCUAUGCCUACAUGAAGUAUGGUGGUGGGAGCAUGAUGCUGUAGGGCUGCAAUUCUGCAGAAGGGACUGGGCAUCUUGCAAAAUACUCAGCACUGCGAGAAGACCUGUUUCAGGCAGCUCCCAAAUUGAAGCUUGGACCAAAGUUCAUCGUUCAACAGGAACAAAAAGGGAAUGGCCUCCAUAGAAGCCUACAAGGCCAAAUGGUUGGGUGAUAUCUGGGCCACUUCAGGAUUUUUCCUGCUGCCAUGGGGUGCCAGUCUGACACAGGGGAGAAGCUUCACUGGGGGAACCUGCUGGAUUCUACCUGAGGUCGAUACGGAUUCGAUGAAGACAUUACCAUGGAGCAUACUUUCAGGCAUUACUACCAUACAGGACUUUGCAAUUCCCUCCCUAUUUUCUAAAGAAAUUUGCAAUGUAUUUUGGUUUUUACCAGUAAGUUUUUACAAGUAGGUUUAUAUGCAGAUUCCAAUAAAGAGAUGUUGAUAGAUCA
Xenopus tropicalis (tropical clawed frog) is the source of this 1475-nucleotide long non-coding RNA. RefSeq lists it as uncharacterized. NCBI's taxonomy places the organism in Eukaryota, Metazoa, Chordata, Amphibia, Anura, Pipidae. The record is from RefSeq and is a predicted model, not a curated record. The transcript is spliced from 4 exons.